This is a long non-coding RNA of Rosa chinensis, 479 nucleotides long. RefSeq lists it as uncharacterized. The record is from RefSeq and is a predicted model, not a curated record. The transcript is spliced from 3 exons. NCBI's taxonomy places the organism in Eukaryota, Viridiplantae, Streptophyta, Magnoliopsida, Rosales, Rosaceae.
GGACCAUGCGUCCUUGCCGGCGCACCAUCCCGUCUCCGCCGACAAUCCCGCGUCUUCUCCAAAGCACCGUCAAAUCGGCGUCGGUGGUAGUCGUGCCCAAUGCAUCGUACAUGGCAACCGUGACGAUGGCGAGAGCGGUGGAUUUGUCCUUCAGCUCCUCCGCAAGUAUUAAGAUCUUCAAGCUCGAUUAACAGUCGGACGAUUGUGAUCUUCCCGUAAUGGGCGAGUCGACAAGCUCGGAGAGAUUCAAUAGUUUAUUGCGGUCCAAGCCCGCUGCUAGAUCAGGAAAUCUAGAAUCCACUCACUCUAAUCCGAGUUUUUCCCUUUGCAUUUGUAGUAGUAGAUUUCGAAAAUCAUGUGAAUUUGGAUAAUCUUCCCAUCUUGCAAAUUCAAGACCAAGUCAAGAUGGGUGAGAUUUCAAAUUAUCUAUCCAACAAGGAUAACAAAACCACGACUUGAUAUCAUUUGAACUUGUGGAC